GAGGAUACAGGGGGCAGGUGGGUGUGGGGGGGGAUUAGGGGGGGGGAUUAAGGGGGAUCGGUGAGGUUAGGGGCCAAAACACUGACGUAGGGGCGAGACUAAAGGUAGGCGAGAUAGCACAUUAGAUGCCUUGCAGCCUGCCGACGAGGACACAUAUUUAUGCAUUGAUUUCAGCCAGAAGACCCUACGUCUGUCUGCCUGUGGCAAACACCGAAGCCGGCGUGUGAGGACGGAUCGGCCAUGCCUGAGCAUACAUCGAAGACAGGUGCCAGGUGAGCGUGGACGUAGUUGGUUUGAGCAGGGGUACACCUUACUCGUUGAGUUACAUAAGGGGAAGUGCAGGGGCCGUCAUUGAUGGGAGUCUCAAAGCCGGCUCAAAUUUGAGUCCCACGGCACACGUACGUUGAGCUGGCCCAUUGGGAAGCCACCUUACGUGGGGCAGACCUGAGGCAAACGGAGCGUUUGAUAAACUGCAUACCGCACAGCUAACAUCCUUGCACACGUCUUGCUGCAGGCUGCUGGCGAGUCAGGGACGCAUUAACUUGCACGGUGCGGGCUGCCAAGAUUGCUGUGCGCUUGCAAGGGCGGGGCAGAGUCCAGAUUUCGCCCAAGAUAUCACAUUGCUAUGAAUACAAUAUUAACGCGCGCCAACAUCCAUUAUCUGUGCAGGGCACGGCAGGACGCAGCUGCUGGGCAGGGUGCAGCGUGGCGGCGCAACUUGGCGGGCGGUGGCAUGGCUAAGCUGGGUAGCUUGGUGGCGAAGCAUCCGAGGAGCAUGCAUGCGUCGGAUGCUUUACCAACGGUGGUGUACUGUUGAUGCUAGACAGAUUCUAUGUGAAUCGUUAAGCUUAGGACCUGGCGGUGGUCGCUUGCACAUGGACACAUACCGUAUGGACAUCGCACGUACAUGCAGCCAAGGAGCCCCGGGGCGCCCCAC
RNAcentral lists this long non-coding RNA (937 nucleotides) under Chlamydomonas reinhardtii. RNAcentral describes it as "long non-coding RNA (CREI_LNC001438)". Lineage: Eukaryota; Viridiplantae; Chlorophyta; Chlorophyceae; Chlamydomonadales; Chlamydomonadaceae. The record is from RNAcentral.